Molecule: ribosomal RNA, 447 nt
Filed under: uncultured bacterium
Lineage: Bacteria
Description: partial 16S ribosomal RNA
Rfam family: Bacterial small subunit ribosomal RNA
Source: RNAcentral
AACGAACGCUGGCGGCAGGCUUAACACAUGCAAGUCGAGCGCCCCGCAAGGGGAGCGGCAGACGGGUGAGUAACACGUGGGAAUCUACCCAUCCCUACGGAACAACUCCGGGAAACUGGAGCUAAUACCGUAUACGCCCUUCGGGGGAAAGAUUUAUCGGGGAUGGAUGGGCCCGCGUUGGAUUAGCUAGUUGGUGGGGUAAAGGCCUACCAAGGCGACGAUCCAUAGCUGGUCUGAGAGGAUGAUCAGCCACAUUGGGACUGAGACACGGCCCAAACUCCUACGGGAGGCAGCAGUGGGGAAUAUUGGACAAUGGGCGCAAGCCUGAUCCAGCCAUGCCGCGUGAAUGAUGAAGGCCUUAGGGUUGUAAAGUUCUUUCACCGAUGAAGAUAAUGACGGUAGUCGGAGAAGAAGCCCCGGCUAACUUCGUGCCAGCCGCCGCCGUAA